AGUGAACGCUGGCGGUAGGCCUAACACAUGCAAGUCGAACGGCAGCACAGUAAGAGCUUGCUCUUACGGGUGGCGAGUGGCGGACGGGUGAGGAAUACAUCGGAAUCUACUUUUUCGUGGGGGAUAACGUAGGGAAACUUACGCUAAUACCGCACACGACCUACGGGUGAAAGCAGGGGAUCUUCGGACCUUGCGCGAUUGAAUGAGCCGAUGUCGGAUUAGCUAGUUGGCGGGGUAAAGGCCCACCAAGGCGACGAUCCGUAGCUGGUCUGAGAGGAUGAUCAGCCACACUGGAACUGAGACACGGUCCAGACUCCUACGGGAGGCAGCAGUGGGGAAUAUUGGACAAUGGGCGCAAGCCUGAUCCAGCCAUACCGCGUGGGUGAAGAAGGCCUUCGGGUUGUAAAGCCCUUUUGUUGGGAAAGAAAAGCAGCAGGUUAAUACCCCGCUGUUCUGACGGUUCCCAAAGAAUAAGCACCGGCUAACUUCGUG
This 492-nucleotide ribosomal RNA is filed under the name uncultured bacterium. Its description in RNAcentral is "partial 16S ribosomal RNA". It matches the Rfam family "Bacterial small subunit ribosomal RNA", at positions 29 to 507 of the family's 1533-position model. The record is from RNAcentral.